Molecule: ribosomal RNA, 427 nt
Filed under: uncultured bacterium
Lineage: Bacteria
Description: bacterial SSU rRNA
Rfam family: Bacterial small subunit ribosomal RNA
Source: RNAcentral
UAGGGAAUAUUGGACAAUGGGCGCAAGCCUGAUCCAGCCAUGCCGCGUGAGUGAAGAAGGCCCUCGGGUUGUAAAGCUCUUUUGUCCGGAAAGAAAAGCAUCGGGUUAAUACCCCGGUGUUCUGACGGUACCGGAAGAAUAAGCACCGGCUAACUUCGUGCCAGCAGCCGCGGUAAUACGAAGGGUGCAAGCGUUACUCGGAAUUACUGGGCGUAAAGCGUGCGUAGGUGGUUCGUUAAGUCUGAUGUGAAAGCCCUGGGCUCAACCUGGGAAUGGCAUUGGAAACUGGCGGACUGGAGUGCGGUAGAGGGUAGCGGAAUUCCUGGUGUAGCAGUGAAAUGCGUAGAGAUCGGGAGGAACAUCCGUGGCGAAGGCGGCUACCUGGACCAGCACUGACACUGAGGCACGAAAGCGUGGGGAGCAAACA